RNAcentral lists this ribosomal RNA (1399 nucleotides) under Salmonella enterica subsp. enterica serovar Typhimurium. Its description in RNAcentral is "partial 23S ribosomal RNA". It matches the Rfam family "Bacterial large subunit ribosomal RNA", at positions 247 to 1602 of the family's 2925-position model. Lineage: Bacteria; Pseudomonadati; Pseudomonadota; Gammaproteobacteria; Enterobacterales; Enterobacteriaceae. The record is from RNAcentral.
CGGCGAGCGAACGGGGAGGAGCCCAGAGCCUGAAUCAGCAUGUGUGUUAGUGGAAGCGUCUGGAAAGGCGCGCGAUACAGGGUGACAGCCCCGUACACAAAAGCGCAUGUGCUGUGAGCUCGAUGAGUAGGGCGGGACACGUGGUAUCCUGUCUGAAUAUGGGGGGACCAUCCUCCAAGGCUAAAUACUCCUGACUGACCGAUAGUGAACCAGUACCGUGAGGGAAAGGCGAAAAGAACCCCGGCGAGGGGAGUGAAAAAGAACCUGAAACCGUGUACGUACAAGCAGUGGGAGCACCCUUUGGGGUGUGACUGCGUACCUUUUGUAUAAUGGGUCAGCGACUUAUAUUCUGUAGCAAGGUUAACCGAAUAGGGGAGCCGGAGGGAAACCGAGUCUUAAUUGGGCGUUAAGUUGCAGGGUAUAGACCCGAAACCCGGUGAUCUAGCCAUGGGCAGGUUGAAGGUUGGGUAACACUAACUGGAGGACCGAACCGACUAAUGUUGAAAAAUUAGCGGAUGACCUGUGGCUGGGGGUGAAAGGCCAAUCAAACCGGGAGAUAGCUGGUUCUCCCCGAAAGCUAUUUAGGUAGCGCCUCGUGAACUCAUCUCCGGGGGUAGAGCACUGUUUCGGCUAGGGGGCCAUCCCGGCUUACCAACCCGAUGCAAACUGCGAAUACCGGAGAAUGUUAUCACGGGAGACACACGGCGGGUGCUAACGUCCGUCGUGAAGAGGGAAACAACCCAGACCGCCAGCUAAGGUCCCAAAGUCAUGGUUAAGUGGGAAACGAUGUGGGAAGGCCCAGACAGCCAGGAUGUUGGCUUAGAAGCAGCCAUCAUUUAAAGAAAGCGUAAUAGCUCACUGGUCGAGUCGGCCUGCGCGGAAGAUGUAACGGGGCUAAACCAUGCACCGAAGCUGCGGCAGCGAACGUAUCACCCAAGACAACUUUACGGAGUUGACGAUUGACGGAGCGAAGCGACGUCAAAGCGUUCAUUAAAGUCGAGUUGGCUUAGGGAUACGUUCGUUGGGUAGGGGAGCGUUCUGUAAGCCUGUGAAGGUGUGUCGUGAGGCAUGCUGGAGGUAUCAGAAGUGCGAAUGCUGACAUAAGUAACGAUAAAGCGGGUGAAAAGCCCGCUCGCCGGAAGACCAAGGGUUCCUGUCCAACGUUAAUCGGGGCAGGGUGAGUCGACCCCUAAGGCGAGGCCGAAAGGCGUAGUCGAUGGGAAACGGGUUAAUAUUCCCGUACUUGGUGUUACUGCGAAGGGGGGACGGAGAAGGCUAUGUUGGCCGGGCGACGGUUGUCCCGGUUUAAGCGUGUAGGUGUGUGUUCCAGGUAAAUCCGGUUCACUUUAACACUGAGGCGUGACGACGAGGCACUACGGUGCUGAAGCAACAAAUGCCC